This 429-nucleotide ribosomal RNA is filed under the name Chloroflexota bacterium. RNAcentral describes it as "Chloroflexi bacterium partial 16S ribosomal RNA". It matches the Rfam family "Bacterial small subunit ribosomal RNA", at positions 355 to 776 of the family's 1533-position model. The record is from RNAcentral. Lineage: Bacteria; Bacillati; Chloroflexota.
UGGGGAAUAUUGCACAAUGGGCGCAAGCCUGAUGCAGCCAUGCCGCGUGUGUGAAGAAGGCCUUCGGGUUGUAAAGCACUUUCAGCGGGGAGGAAGGCGUUAAGGUUAAUAACCUUGGCGAUUGACGUUACCCGCAGAAGAAGCACCGGCUAACUCCGUGCCAGCAGCCGCGGUAAUACGGAGGGUGCAAGCGUUAAUCGGAAUUACUGGGCGUAAAGCGCACGCAGGCGGUUGAUUGAGUCAGAUGUGAAAUCCCCGGGCUUAACCCGGGAAUUGCAUCUGAUACUGGUCAGCUAGAGUCUUGUAGAGGGGGGUAGAAUUCCAUGUGUAGCGGUGAAAUGCGUAGAGAUGUGGAGGAAUACCGGUGGCGAAGGCGGCCCCCUGGACAAAGACUGACGCCCAGGUGCGAAAGCGUGGGGAGCAAACAGG